GACAGAAAGACCCUAUGAAGCUUUACUGUAUCCUGGAAUUGAAUUUGGGUUUAUUUUGCGCAGUAUAGGUGGGAGGCUAAGAUCUUGUGUUUGUGGAUAUAAGUGAGCCAUCGGUGAGAUACCACUCUAAUUAAACUAGAAUUCUAAUCUUGAUGCCGUUAUCCGGCCAAGAGACAUUUUCAGGUGGGCAGUUUGACUGGGGCGGUCGCCUCCUAAAAAGUAACGGAGGCGUGCAAAGGUUUUCUCAGGCUGGUCGGAAAUCAGUCGUAGAGUAUAAAGGCAUAAGAAAGCUUGACUGCGAGAUCUACAAAUCGAGCAGAGACGAAAGUCGGCCUUAGUGAUCCGACAGUGCUGAGUGGAAAGGCUGUCGCUCAACGGAUAAAAGUUACUCUAGGGAUAACAGGCUGA
Molecule: ribosomal RNA, 408 nt
Filed under: Herposiphonia sp. ARS-2011
Lineage: Eukaryota; Rhodophyta; Florideophyceae; Ceramiales; Rhodomelaceae
Description: bacterial LSU rRNA
Rfam family: Bacterial large subunit ribosomal RNA
Source: RNAcentral